UGAGAAAUUAUUUCUGGGCGCGCUUUUU
RNAcentral lists this small RNA (28 nucleotides) under Bombyx mori (domestic silkworm). RNAcentral describes it as "ovarian small RNA-32109". The record is from RNAcentral. Lineage: Eukaryota; Metazoa; Arthropoda; Insecta; Lepidoptera; Bombycidae.